AAUUCGAUGAUACGCGAGGAACCUUACCUGGGCUCGAACGUAAGAUGACUGUAGGUGAAAGCUUACAUCUCUUCGGAGCAUUUUACGAGGUGCUGCAUGGUUGUCGUCAGCUCGUGCCGUGAGGUGUCGGGUUAAGUCCCAUAACGAGCGCAACCCCUACCUUUAGUUGCCAUCAGGUAAUGCUGGGGACUCUAAAGGAACUGCCUACGCAAGUAGUGAGGAAGGCGGGGAUGACGUCAAAUCAGCACGGCCCUUACGUCCAGGGCUACACACGUGCUACAAUGGCCGAUACAGGGGGCAGCUACCUGGUGACAGGAUGCAAAUCUCCAAAGUCGGUCUCAGUUCGGAUCGGAGUCUGCAACCCGACUCCGUGAAGUUGGAUUCGCUAGUAAUCGCGCAUCAGCCAUGGCGCGGUGAAUACGUUCCCGGGCCUU
RNAcentral lists this ribosomal RNA (434 nucleotides) under uncultured Sphingobacteriales bacterium. RNAcentral's name for it is "bacterial SSU rRNA". It matches the Rfam family "Bacterial small subunit ribosomal RNA", at positions 948 to 1382 of the family's 1533-position model. Lineage: Bacteria; Pseudomonadati; Bacteroidota; Sphingobacteriia; Sphingobacteriales. The record is from RNAcentral.